CGAUAUAUCCGGCAUUUGUGUGUCAUAGGACACUAAUUGGCCUAUUCACCUCUGGGUGUUGACCCUGUGUACGAGUGAUUCUCACCUUGUGUGUAGCCUGUCUUCACAGGAACCACCACUUCCAUUAUCAUAAGUACACCGUGUUCAUUUAUAUGAGCACAAGUCAAGUCGAACACAAUACAAGAGAUUUUGCUCUUA
Molecule: long non-coding RNA, 198 nt
Organism: Daphnia pulicaria
Lineage: Eukaryota; Metazoa; Arthropoda; Branchiopoda; Diplostraca; Daphniidae
Exons: 3
Source: RefSeq, a predicted model, not a curated record